AACGAACGCUGGCGGCAUGCCUAACACAUGCAAGUCGAACGAUCCCUUCGGGGAUAGUGGCGCACGGGUGCGUAACGCGUGGGAACCUGCCCUUAGGUUCGGAAUAACUCAGAGAAAUUUGAGCUAAUACCGGAUAAUGUCUUCGGACCAAAGAUUUAUCGCCUUUGGAUGGGCCCGCGUUGGAUUAGCUAGUUGGUAGGGUAAAGGCCUCCCAAGGUGACGAUCCAUAGCUGGUCUGAGAGGAGGAUCAGCCACACUGGGACUGGGACACGGCCCGGACUCCUCCGGGGAGCAGCGGUGGGGAAUAUUGGACAAUGGGCGAAAGCCUGAUCAAGCAAUGCCGCGUGAGUGAUGAAGUCCUUAGAGUGGUAAAGCUCUUUUACCCGAGAUGAUAAUGACAGUACCGGAAGAAUAAGCCCCGGCUAACUCCGUG
RNAcentral lists this ribosomal RNA (433 nucleotides) under uncultured bacterium. RNAcentral's name for it is "partial 16S ribosomal RNA". It matches the Rfam family "Bacterial small subunit ribosomal RNA", at positions 29 to 507 of the family's 1533-position model. The record is from RNAcentral.